GUCUGGGUAGCUCAGCGGUAGAGCGUCCCCUAGGGGAAGGUCGUGGGUUCGAAUCCCAUUCCAUACC
Molecule: transfer RNA, 67 nt
Filed under: Tropilaelaps mercedesae
Lineage: Eukaryota; Metazoa; Arthropoda; Arachnida; Mesostigmata; Laelapidae
Rfam family: tRNA
About the family: Transfer RNA (tRNA) molecules are approximately 80 nucleotides in length. Their secondary structure includes four short double-helical elements and three loops (D, anti-codon, and T loops). Further hydrogen bonds mediate the characteristic L-shaped molecular structure. tRNAs have two regions of fundamental functional importance: the anti-codon, which is responsible for specific mRNA codon recognition, and the 3' end, to which the tRNAs corresponding amino acid is attached (by aminoacyl-tRNA synthetases). tRNAs cope with the degeneracy of the genetic code in two manners: having more than one tRNA (with a specific anti-codon) for a particular amino acid; and 'wobble' base-pairing, i.e. permitting non-standard base-pairing at the 3rd anti-codon position.
Source: Rfam by way of RNAcentral